GCAGUCGAGCGAGCGGAACUAACAGAUUUACUUCGGUAAUGACGUUAGGAAAGCGAGCGGCGGAUGGGUGAGUAACACGUGGGGAACCUGCCCCAUAGUCUGGGAUACCACUUGGAAACAGGUGCUAAUACCGGAUAAGAAAGCAGAUCGCAUGAUCAGCUUUUAAAAGGCGGCGUAAGCUGUCGCUAUGGGAUGGCCCCGCGGUGCAUUAGCUAGUUGGUAAGGUAAAGGCUUACCAAGGCGAUGAUGCAUAGCCGAGUUGAGAGACUGAUCGGCCACAUUGGGACUGAGACACGGCCCAAACUCCUACGGGAGGCAGCAGUAGGGAAUCUUCCACAAUGGACGCAAGUCUGAUGGAGCAACGCCGCGUGAGUGAAGAAGGUUUUCGGAUCGUAAAGCUCUGUUGUUGGUGAAGAAGGAUAGAGGUAGUAACUGGCCUUUAUUUGACGGUAAUCAACCAGAAAGUCACGGCUAACUACGUGCCAGCAGCCGCGGUAAUACGUAGGUGGCAAGCGUUGUCCGGAUUUAUUGGGCGUAAAGCGAGCGCAGGCGGAAGAAUAAGUCUGAUGUGAAAGCCCACGGCUUAACCGAGGAACUGCAUCGGAAACUGUUUUUCUUGAGUGCAGAAGAGGAGAGUGGAACUCCAUGUGUAGCGGUGGAAUGCGUAGAUAUAUGGAAGAACACCAGUGGCGAAGGCGGCUCUCUGGUCUGCAACUGACGCUGAGGCUCGAAAGCAUGGGUAGUGAACAGGAUUAGAUACCCUGGUAGUCCAUGCCGUAAACGAUGAGUGCUAAGUGUUGGGAGGUUUCCGCCUCUCAGUGCUGCAG
RNAcentral lists this ribosomal RNA (827 nucleotides) under uncultured bacterium. RNAcentral describes it as "bacterial SSU rRNA". It matches the Rfam family "Bacterial small subunit ribosomal RNA", at positions 57 to 851 of the family's 1533-position model. The record is from RNAcentral.